RNAcentral lists this ribosomal RNA (229 nucleotides) under uncultured bacterium. RNAcentral's name for it is "partial 16S ribosomal RNA". It matches the Rfam family "Bacterial small subunit ribosomal RNA", at positions 568 to 796 of the family's 1533-position model. The record is from RNAcentral.
UACGUAGACGGAAAAUUAAGUCAGUAGUGAAAUCCUGCAGCUUAACUGUAGAACUGUUAUUGAUACUGGUUUUCUUGAAUAUAGUUGAGGUAGGCGGAAUGUGUAAUGUAGCGGUGAAAUGCUUAGAUAUUACACAGAACACCGAUUGCGAAGGCAGCUUACUAAGCUAUGAUUGACGCUGAGGUACGAAAGCGUGGGGAGCGAACAGGAUUAGAUACCCUGGUAGUCC